CCUACGGGAGGCAGCAGUGGGGAAUCUUGCGCAAUGGGCGAAAGCCUGACGCAGCAACGCCGCGUGCGGGAAGAAGGCUUUCGGGCUGUAAACCGCUUUCAGCAGGAACGAAAAUGACGGUACCUGCAGAAGAAGGAGCGGCCAACUAUGUGCCAGCAGCCGCGGUGAUACAUAGGCUUCAAGCGUUGUCCGGAUUUAUUGGGCGUAAAGAGUUCGUAGGCGGUCGAGUAAGUCGGGUGUGAAAAUUCUGGGCUCAACCCAGAGACGCCACCCGAUACUGCUUGACUUGAGUUCGAUAGGGGAGUGGGGAAUUCCUAGUGUAGCGGUGAAAUGCGCAGAUAUUAGGAGGAACACCGGUGGCGAAGGCGCCACUCUGGAUCGAUACUGACGCUGAGGAACGAAAGCAUGGGUAGCAAACAGGAUUAGAUACCCUGGUAGUCCAUGCCGUAAACGGUGGGCACUAGGUGUGGGUUUCUAUUAACGAAAUCCGCGCCGUCGCUAACGCAUUAAGUGCCCCGCCUGGGGAGUACGGUCGCAAGCUAAAACUUAAAUGAAUUGACGGCUGAGAGNGCGAGCGACACGAGGAGAGG
RNAcentral lists this ribosomal RNA (590 nucleotides) under uncultured bacterium. RNAcentral describes it as "bacterial SSU rRNA". It matches the Rfam family "Bacterial small subunit ribosomal RNA", at positions 338 to 944 of the family's 1533-position model. The record is from RNAcentral.